GAACUCCAGCAACAAGAACCUCAUCCUGCUUGGUUAACAUAUGCUGAAGACCAUGACAGAAAUUUUGGUUUUUCCUCACAACACUGAAAUGCUCAAGAGACAAUGAAUUUUUUAUUUUUUUUCAAAAUUCUGCUCAUCAAAAUCUUUAAUCCCUGAAUCAAUGUUAAUUGUUUCUUGGACUUGAGAAAACAUGCCACGAUCAUUCUUAAGAAAUUCCUCUGUUCCUCCCUCUAUCUUUUGCUGAAUUUGGAAUUUCUGUUCCAAUUCUUGGGAUAGAUCGUCAAAAUCCAUGAUUCUUGCUUCUGUCUCCAUCACAGUACAAGAGUUUUGUGAAUCCCUUUGUUAAGGAACUAAGAACUCUCUUGGAGUAGGAAGAAUCCUCUGGUCAUUUGCCCCAUUACCUUGCUGUGAUCCGAAGGAAAUUUCCAUUCAAUAUCCCUUUCAACCCUAAUAUCACAUACUUAACUCUCCUAUGGCAUUUUCCAUAGAAUUCAUGAUCUCCUGAACCUCUUUUUCAACCCCUUCCACAUCAUGCCUUACUCCAAUUUGCAGAUUCUUGAAGUC
This 564-nucleotide unclassified non-coding RNA is filed under the name Hevea brasiliensis (rubber tree). Lineage: Eukaryota; Viridiplantae; Streptophyta; Magnoliopsida; Malpighiales; Euphorbiaceae. The record is from RNAcentral.